UGACUCCUUGAGAGUCCUGAAGGAACGUUGAAGACGACGACGUUGAUAGGCCGGAUGUGUAAGCGCAGCGAUGCGUUGAGCUAACCGGUACUAAUGAACCGUGAGGCUUAACCUUACAACGCCGAAGGUGUUU
Molecule: ribosomal RNA, 133 nt
Filed under: Escherichia coli
Lineage: Bacteria; Pseudomonadati; Pseudomonadota; Gammaproteobacteria; Enterobacterales; Enterobacteriaceae
Description: partial 23S ribosomal RNA
Rfam family: Bacterial large subunit ribosomal RNA (bases 1-115)
Source: RNAcentral